Molecule: ribosomal RNA, 466 nt
Filed under: uncultured bacterium
Lineage: Bacteria
Description: partial 16S ribosomal RNA
Rfam family: Bacterial small subunit ribosomal RNA
Source: RNAcentral
CUACGGGAGGCUGCAGUGAGGAAUUUUGCGCAAUGGGGGAAACCCUGACGCAGCAACGCCGCGUGAGUGAAGAAGGCCUUUGGGUCGUAAAGCUCUGUCAACAGGGAAGAAGUUACAAUUGUUUAAUAAAUGAUUGUAUUGACGGUACCUGUGGAGGAAGCGCCGGCUAACUCCGUGCCAGCAGCCGCGGUAACACGGGGGGGCGCAAGCGUUAUUCGGAAUUAUUGGGCGUAAAGGGCGCGCAGGCGGUCUUGUCCGUCAGGUGGGAAAGCUCGGGGCUCAACCCGGGAAGUGCACUUGAAACAGCAAGACUUGAAUACGGGAGAGGAAAGCGGAAUUCCUGGUGUAGAGGUGAAAUUCGUAGAUAUCAGGAGGAACACCGAUGGCGAAGGCAGCUUUCUGGACCGAUAUUGACGCUGAGGCGCGAAGGCGUGGGGAGCGAACGGGAUUAGAUACCCUCGUAGUC